GGGUUUUACCCAAGGGUUUAGAGUUUACCCAAGGGUUUAGGGUUUACCCAAGGGUUUAGGGUUUAGGGAUUAGGAUUUAGGGUUUAGGGAAUAGGAUUUAGGAUUUAGUGUUUUGCUGACGACAUUAAAAAGAUUUUUUUUAAUUCUUUUUUCUGUAACUACUUUUUUUUAUUUUUUAUUUUAAAAACAUAAUAUAACUUAACAAUAUUUUG
This 212-nucleotide long non-coding RNA is filed under the name Brassica napus (rape). RNAcentral's name for it is "long non-coding RNA (BNAP_LNC020038)". Lineage: Eukaryota; Viridiplantae; Streptophyta; Magnoliopsida; Brassicales; Brassicaceae. The record is from RNAcentral.